GGGGUAUGGAUGACUGAAAAGGAACAAGAGGGAACUUUAUGAGAAUCAGUUCAAUAGCAACAAAUGGUCUACUUACUCCAGCUCCCAGCUUCCUUUGGCAUUCCCAGCAUUGCCCUGAGAAGGUCCUCCUCCAAGAAAAGAGCACCAGCUGCCUAAGUUUAAGCAAUGGCCAUAACCCCCUCCUCUGUACCCUAAGUUUUAUUAAGUCCACCUCUUCCCUCCAGCUCCAACAGACCCAGGAGGUCAGCUGCUUCCUGCAGACACUAAUGAAUGUUCUUGCAGUCGAUCCAACUGAUCAAGAUGGCUGCAACCGCAUUGUGUGAAGAAUAAAUACCCGCUGCACAAAUGUCUGAUGUCUCUGCCUGUAUG
Molecule: long non-coding RNA, 369 nt
Filed under: Equus caballus (horse)
Lineage: Eukaryota; Metazoa; Chordata; Mammalia; Perissodactyla; Equidae
Description: lncRNA (ENSECAG00000055828.1)
Source: RNAcentral